RNAcentral lists this ribosomal RNA (253 nucleotides) under uncultured bacterium. Its description in RNAcentral is "partial 16S ribosomal RNA". It matches the Rfam family "Bacterial small subunit ribosomal RNA", at positions 524 to 776 of the family's 1533-position model. The record is from RNAcentral.
UACGUAGGGAGCAAGCGUUGUCCGGAAUUACUGGGCGUAAAGAGCUUGUAGGCGGUUUGUCGCGUCGGUUGUGAAAACUUGGGGCUCAACCCCAAGCUUGCAGGCGAUACGGGCAGACUAGAGUACUUCAGGGGAGACUGGAAUUCCUGGUGUAGCGGUGAAAUGCGCAGAUAUCAGGAGGAACACCGGUGGCGAAGGCGGGUCUCUGGGAAGUAACUGACGCUGAGAAGCGAAAGCGUGGGUAGCGAACAGG